CUACGGGCGGCUGCAGUGAGGAAUAUUGCACAAUGGGGGGAACCCUGAUGCAGCAACGCCGCGUGGAGGAUGACGCAUUUCGGUGUGUAAACUCCUUUUAUAUGUCAAGAAAAUGACGGUAGCAUAUGAAUAAGCACCGGCUAACUCCGUGCCAGCAGCCGCGGUAAUACGGAGGGUGCAAGCGUUACUCGGAAUCACUGGGCGUAAAGGACGCGUAGGCGGGUUGGAAAGUCAGGUGUGAAAUCCUACAGCUUAACUGUAGAACUGCACUUGAAACUUCUAAUCUAGAGUAUGGGAGGGGGAGAUGGAAUUAGUGGCGUAGGGGUAAAAUCCGUAGAUAUCACUAGGAAUACCUAAAGCGAAGGCGAUCUCCUGGAACAUUACUGACGCUAAGGCGUGAAAGCGUGGGGGGCAAACAGGAUUAGAUACCCCUGUAGUC
RNAcentral lists this ribosomal RNA (439 nucleotides) under uncultured bacterium. RNAcentral's name for it is "partial 16S ribosomal RNA". It matches the Rfam family "Bacterial small subunit ribosomal RNA", at positions 339 to 795 of the family's 1533-position model. The record is from RNAcentral.